GAAGACGAUAAAGAGCCUGCAGUAUGA
Molecule: small RNA, 27 nt
Filed under: Bombyx mori (domestic silkworm)
Lineage: Eukaryota; Metazoa; Arthropoda; Insecta; Lepidoptera; Bombycidae
Description: ovarian small RNA-15212
Source: RNAcentral